This 1483-nucleotide ribosomal RNA is filed under the name uncultured bacterium. RNAcentral describes it as "bacterial SSU rRNA". It matches the Rfam family "Bacterial small subunit ribosomal RNA". The record is from RNAcentral.
GAUUUUGAUUCUGGAUCAAGGCUGGCGGCGUGCCUAUGCCUUGCAAGUCCAGCGGGGAUGGUACCUGAAUGUGAUGAGCUGGACUUGCCAUCUUAGCGGCGGACGGGUGAGUAACACGUGAGCAACCUACCCUCAUCACGGGGAUAACAGCUCGAAUGGGCUGCUAAUACCCGAUGGGACCACGUCAUUGCAUGGUGAUGUGGUGAAACGGUGGACGUACCGUCCAUGCCGGGUGAGGAUGGGCUCACCUCCCUUCAGCUAAUUGGUGGGGUAACGACCUACCCAGACGAUAACGGUUAGCCAGCCUGCCACGUUGACCCGCCUCAUUGGGACUGUAACACCCUACACACUCCAACAGGAGGCACCAGCCGGAAAUCUUGCGCAAUGGGCGAAAGCCUGACGCAGAGACGCCGCGUGAGGGAAGGAGCCCUUCGGGGUUUAAACCUCUUUGGACGGGGAGAAGUAGGAGAUAGUACCCCACAAAAAGCCACGGCUAACUACGUGCCAGCAGCCGCGGUAAUACGUAGGUGGCGAGCGUUGUCCGGAAUUACUGGGGGUAAAGGGUGGGUAGGCGGCCCGGUAAGUUGAGCGUGAAAUUUUCGGGCUCAACCCAAAAGGAGCGUUCAGGAAUGCCAGGGUUGAGGGCCGGAGAGGGGGGGGGAAUUUCCGGGGUAGCGGGGAAAAGGGUAGAUAUUGGGAGGAACUCCCAGGGGGGAGGGGGCCGUUUGGACCUUAACCGACGCUGAGGCAGGAAAGCGUGGGGAGCAAACAGCGAGUUAGAUCACUGUGGUAGUACUACGACUGUAAACGAUGGAUGCUAGGUGUGGGGGGAGCAGACCUCUUCCGUGCCGUAGUUAACACAAUAAGCAUGCAGUCUAGGAAGUACGUCCGCAAGGUUGAAACUCAAUAGAAUGUACGGGCGGCCGCACAAGCGGUGGAGCAUGUGGUUCAAUUGAAAGCAACGCGAAGAACCUUAUCAGGGCUGGACAUGGUCAGAACCCUUCCGAAAGGAGGGGGUGCCUAACCGAUGAGGUUAGGAGCCCGGACACAGGUGGUGCAUGGUUGUCGUCAGCUCGUGUCGUGAGAUGUCGGUUUAAGUCCCGCAACGAGCGCAACCCCUGCCCUUAUCAGCCAGCGGGCUGAGCCGGGCACCACAAGGGGACUGCCGCCGAUGAGGCGGAGGAAGGUGGGGAUGACGUCAAAUCAUCAUGCCAAAAAUGCCGUGGGAUACACACGUGCUACAAUGGGUGCUACAGAGGGCAGUGAAGGCGCGAGCCGGAGCGAAUCCCAAAAAAGCACCCCCAGUUCGGAUUGCAGGCUGCAACUCGCCUGCGUGAAGUCGGAAUAGUUAGUAAUCGCGGAUCAGCAUGCCGCAGUGAAUACGUUCCCGGGCCAUUACACACCGCCAGUCACGCCGUGAUAGUCAGCAUCCACUGAAGACCCUGGGCAGACUGUGUUGAAGGUGGGGCUGAUGAUUGGGGUU